GGUGCCUUAGCUCAGCUGGUAGAGCAACGGAUUGAAAAUCCGUGUGUCCCCAGUUCGAUUCUGGGAGGCACCACCA
RNAcentral lists this transfer RNA (76 nucleotides) under Bacteroidota bacterium. RNAcentral describes it as "Bacteroidetes bacterium tRNA-Phe". It matches the Rfam family "tRNA". From Rfam's summary of the family: Transfer RNA (tRNA) molecules are approximately 80 nucleotides in length. Lineage: Bacteria; Pseudomonadati; Bacteroidota. RNAcentral also lists the same sequence under 1 other name. The record is from RNAcentral.